AAGCCUGUCAGGGAAAAAAAGAACGCUUAAAAAGGACAGAAUAUUGACCAAGACAGAAAUUACAUUGCCAAUUUCCCCUCAGAACGGGGUUUCCUCAGACCACAGGGUCGGGGUCAGGGGGAUGACUCACAUCCUGACAUACGCUCACUUGAGAAAACGCUCACCUGCUCCUGAAUCUCAGGAUCCACAUCUGAGAGGCAGUUCUGGCAGAGUUCACAGAAGGCCACCAUCCUGCCCUUCAAAUUCAACAGCUGCUUCUGUGGAGACAAUGGCUUCAGCAGGGAGAAAUGAAGGAAGACACGGACUCCUCCAUUCCCGUUCCCCCUACUCAGACCCAUAUUCACCUGGGAAGCAUCUGAUCCAGAUACGUGGGUUAGUGUCCAGAGAAUGGAAAAAUAGACAAGAGUCAAGGCUGGUAAGAUCACCUGUAACAACCAAAUGUGACAAAAUGAGGGUCAGGAGUAAGGGGCAGGUGGGGAGAGAGAGACAGACAGGCAGAUACACACAAAGGAGGGAAAAAAGAAAAAAGCAGACAGAAGAGAGAAAAUGAGAUUAGGAGAGACCCAAUUCCUUUUCCGGUAGAAAAAAACUGAUUCUGGAAGUCUUCAGAGGAUUCUAUCCUGAGUAGGAAUGCCACCUCUCCCUAAUUUAUUUAAAGUCUCCUAGACCCCCUCAAUAUUAUCCUUGACUCCCCAGAAACCAGAGAGAAUAGCUGUUUUCAGGUGCUGUAAAGUACAGUCACCUUCCAAGAUUGGGAUGGAAGGAACGACACACAUGAUCAAGAUCUCUCUCUCUCUCAUCUGCUCCACAGCCCCGGGACUCGAACUGCAUAUGUGGUGGCCACCUAGGACACAGCCCUUAAAACUCCUCUCCUGCCUCCAACUUGUCUACUUGCCUGUGCCAGCUCCCAUCCUUCUCUACCUGAAGGUCUUACGCCUGAGAGCCCAACAGCUCCUUUUCAUACAUCACCUCACUCUCCACAAAAAAGGACAGCAGAAGGUGGAAGAAAGUCCUCUGGGAGCGUGGACUUCGGCGUCGCUCUCUCUCACCCACCGUUCUUGUCUCACACUCAGGGCAGAAAAGCCUGGUAGAGGGGACACAGGGAAAGGGCAUAGCACGGAAGGAAGUAAGCAGUGCAACAGUUACCAUGGAAGGAAGAAACAGUUCAAGGAGAGGAUUAAAGAAAAAAGAGGCACAGAGCUAAGGAAAGCCCCAAGGUGUUGAGAAGGGAAGGAGACACCAAGGGAGACUUUAUAGGUAUGGGGAGCCCUUAGAAAGAGCACCAGCUGAUGAUGGAGAGAAAACAACAGAUGAUGGUGUUAAAGGAACAAACGAAAA
This is a long non-coding RNA of Orcinus orca (killer whale), 1338 nucleotides long. RefSeq lists it as uncharacterized. NCBI's taxonomy places the organism in Eukaryota, Metazoa, Chordata, Mammalia, Artiodactyla, Delphinidae. The record is from RefSeq and is a predicted model, not a curated record. The transcript is spliced from 2 exons.